GUUGGUGAACCAGCGGAGGGAUCAUUACCGAGUUGCAAGACUCCCAACCCUUGUGAACCUACCUAAGUUGCCUCGGCACGGCGCCCCAGGGCGGGGCCUAGGCCUCCUACGGGAGGCGCCUGCCGGCGAUGGCACCAACCAAACUCUGCCUUAAAUUUCUUCUGAGUCGGUAUUAAAUAAGUCAAAACUUUCAGCAACGGAUCUCUUGGUUCUGGCAUCGAUGAAGAACGCAGCAUCUGACUGACUUCAG
RNAcentral lists this unclassified non-coding RNA (250 nucleotides) under plant metagenome. RNAcentral's name for it is "partial contains small subunit ribosomal RNA, internal transcribed spacer 1, and 5.8S ribosomal RNA". The record is from RNAcentral.